Oreochromis aureus is the source of this 1153-nucleotide long non-coding RNA. RefSeq lists it as uncharacterized. The record is from RefSeq and is a predicted model, not a curated record. The transcript has 3 exons. NCBI's taxonomy places the organism in Eukaryota, Metazoa, Chordata, Actinopteri, Cichliformes, Cichlidae.
GACGAAGAAACGGGAGGAGACGAAGAAGAAGGGGUGUGCGUAUUGUGCUCUUUGCUGUGUCUUGCCGCAGUUUUAAAAAUGGACACUUUUUGAAGAACCCGUAUCAAAGUAUUGUGGAGAAGCGUCGUGUUAAAUCUAAUCGAUGAACGGCUUUUUGUCAGUUCUGACGAGGACAGCUGAGUGAUGUUGUUGGUGAGCUUGGAUUAAAUCAUCUCUAAACAAAGAACUUGUCCUCGUGGUGACUGACUUGGGGAGUGGAGGUCAGUGAGCCCAUUGUCUCUGCUGGUCCGACUCCAACUACAAAGCCGGCCCGCUCGCCCCCUCCUGAGUCUGAGAGGAGAUCCAGAGAGAAAGAAGUGAAAGCAGGCCGAAACCUCAGCACAUGGAUGAUAUCGGCCAAAAACAUCCAGCACCAGCAAGUAAAGAUGAGCCAGCGGCGAUCCCUGUGGAAAAGACUUUUCCCGCUAUGAAGCAGCCCAGAAGACGCAAGCGCGCCAACAGGGAGGGCAGAAGCUUGAGCUGUGAUCAGUGUGGGAAGACCUUUACUCAGAUUUGUAACUUGAAAUCACAUCAGCUGAUCCACAGCGGUGUGAAACCAUUCAGCUGUGGUGAGUGCGGAAAGUCUUUUAUUCAGAGUUACCGCUUAAAAGCACAUCAGCUCGUCCACAGUGAAGUUAAACCUUUCAGCUGUGAUCAGUGUGGAAAGUCUUUUACUCAGAAAGGUGACUUAAAGAGACAUCAUAUGAUCCAUGUUGGAGGUAAAUCAUUUGUCUGUGAUCAGUGUGGAAAGUCUUUUCAGGAUAGAGAUCACUUAGAGAGACAUCAGGGCGUCCACAGUGAAGUUAAACCUUUCACCUGUGAUCAGUGUGGAAAUUCUUUUAGUGGGAUUGAUAGGUUAAAAACACAUCAGCUCAUCCACAGUGGAGAUAAACCUUUCAACUGUGAGCAGUGUGAACAGUCUUUUACUCACAUUGCUGCCUUGAAAUCACAUCAGCUCACCCACUCGCAUAUUAAAAAAUUUGUAUGUGGUCAGUGUGGAAAGGCUUUUAUUCACAUGACUGGCUUAAAAUCACAUCAGCUCACCCACUCUGGAGUUAAAUCAUUUAAAUGUGGUCACUGUGGAAAGGCUUUUACUGAGAUUGAUAGGUUAAAA